Sus scrofa (pig) is the source of this 3222-nucleotide long non-coding RNA. RefSeq lists it as uncharacterized. NCBI's taxonomy places the organism in Eukaryota, Metazoa, Chordata, Mammalia, Artiodactyla, Suidae. The record is from RefSeq and is a predicted model, not a curated record.
UGCAUCAUGUGGAGAUGACCCUGGAGAGGGCAUUCUGACCUCAGCCUGUGUGGCAGAGAAUAAGGGCUUCCCCAAAGAGGGCCAUGGCUUAAUCGCUAAAACCUGUGAAUGUGCUGCUACAUGGCGAAGGGAAUUGAGUAGCAGAUGGUAUCAAGUUGCCCAUCAGCUGAUCCUAAAAUAGGGAAAGGAACCUGGAUUACCCAGGUGGGCCCAGUAUAAUCACUGAGGCCUUUAAAUGUGGAGGUUGGGGCAGAGUGCCAGGGCCAGUGUGAUGUUAGGGAGGCUUUAGCAGCUCCUGCUCUUUGAAGGGAAAGGACAGGCCGGCCACUGGGCAAGGAGAGCAGCAGCUUCUAGAAGCUGGAAAGACCAGGAAACGCAUCCUCUCCUUGAGCCAGGAAGGAGCAUUGCCUUGAAAACGCCUUGAGCUUGCUCCAGGGAGAUCCGUUUCAGAUUUUGGAACUCCAAGGCUAGAAGAGAGUGAAUUUGUGUGUGGUUUCAAGCCUCUAACUAUGUGGUCAGCUACACAGCAACAAGAGGAAGCUCACACACCUGGUGGUUCCAGGACAUCUUUGAGGAGAUAAAUUUGCUCAGCGUAAUAGCGACGAUGUAUUUGGUAUAUAACCGUUCAGGCCACACAGCUGAAAGAGGAGCAUGGAAUAGCCAAACCCUUGUCAGUUUGGAAGGCGAAGCCCUGCUGAGAGCUUUAGCCCUACCUGUGGUGUCAGCCAUCACUGGGUCUGUGGCAGCUAGAGCUGAGCUGUCCAGAUCCCUCUCAGGAAGCUUUUCUCCAGCUGGAGGAUGCGAGCUGGGCGUUUGUUUACAGCUGCUUUGCCCGAGGUCAGACCCCAGCACUUGAGGCACCUGAGCCAGCCAGGGGCAUAAAAGCCUGGCCAUCAUUGCUGCGGAGGCCUUUAGAAGAGCAGAGCAAAUCUUCAGACCGGGGAGACAGUCCUUAGAGAGGAAGGCUGUGACCUGGGGCCGAGGGAGCCCAGCUUUGUGUUCCAGGUGAGGUGAGAGUGCCUACACGUGUGUGUUGUCAUACGGGAGAAGCAGAGUUCAUGGGCCAUAGAUUGCUGGGGAAUUUACAUCCCCCUACUCUGGCUGAGCCGUGCUUGAGUCUCUGGCUGGCUGUACGUAUCACCUUCCUGACCCUUCUGCCCCCAAAUGCCUGCAGGGCGCAGAAUGAAUUUGGCACAGAACGUGGGCAGGGCUACCACAUGAUCAACUGAUUCAUAGUCCAAGAGGGAAACUGAGAGUAUCUACUCAAAGGGCAGGGGAAACAUUUGUCGCCAUUCAUCACACCUUCCACCUGGCUCCUGCCUCGACUUGUGAGAAGAAAAGCGGGUACUUCAUCUGCAUCUACACUGUGGCUUCUGGUGAUAAUGAAGGGGGUGGGGGUGGGGGGCUCAGGCAGCCCUGAGUGAAGCCUCAAAGCUACAGAGACCAUAUAACAAUAGGGCUGUGGGCAGUAUCCAUUUUUCCACAUGAAUCCCUGAACAUUUUAUCAGAAAUUCUGCCUACAUAUGCAAAGAUUUUAGGAUUUCAGCUCCGCAGGUAAAGAGCUUGGAAGUCACUCUUCUGUUCUAGUCAUAUAACUAAACAUCCAAAUAGACUGAAGAGUCAACAGCUCCUCUUGGAUCAUAAGAGGGGAGGGCACAGUCAAACCACGGCCCCUGCAAUGGGCGAGGCAAACAGGUGAACGAAGGGAGUGCUGGCCUCUGUGACUGGGGACUCGUGUGUGGAAACCACUGUGGCAGCCAGUGGCUGGGUAGGAAAGUCUCAACAGAAUUUAUUGAAUUGUUGGAGCUCAGUGUGGACGACUCAGUUAAUAAUAAAGGUGUCCCCGCCCCCAGCCCCCCAACACUGUGAGAAUGACUUCAGGAGCUCUGCUGGAUUCCCACAAUAAAUAGGAGAAAAACCAUACUCCAGCUGCUAGCAGGUGGAGGAGGUAAAACCAUUUUGCAAAAAUGCCUGAACACUGGGUUCUUCUUAACAAGGUCUGCUCUCAGGAGAAACCAAUUUAACCAGAGCCUAACCUGCUGGGGUACUAGCAGAGCCUAAGGGACCUGGGGAAGAGAAAUACCCAGCUCCAGCCAACUCAAGUUCUUGUCCCACCUAAGGCGAAAAGAACCAACAAACUCUUGGCAAGUGGCCAGACCAGGAGCCCAGGAUCCUGAAGCAGAUAGACCUAAUCACAAGACAGUCACACACUCCCCCCCGACACCUCACCACCCCGUUGCUAAAGGCCUAUUUAGAGCAAUUUCUUUUACCCAGUACAACAUGUCCCGUGAAGAAGUAAAAAGUACAAGGCAUGCUGAAAGACAACAGGCUUAUUAAAAGAUAAUAUAACAUGAACAAGCGCUGGAACCAGACAUGGCAGGGAUGUUAAAGUUUAAACCCACUAGGAUUCAUACACUAAGGGCUCCACUGGAUAAAAGAGACAGCAUGCAAGAGCAGGUGAGCAAUGGAAGUGGAAAGAAAUCCUAAAAAAGGUUCUAUGGCUAAAAACUACAAGCAAUGAAGAAUACCUUUGAUGGGCUUAUUAGUAGACUAGACAUGGCAGAGGAAAGACUCUCUGAACUUGAGUUUAUCAUGGGUCCUUGAAAAGCAAAAAGGACAAAAACUUAGAGCAUCCAAGAACUGUGGGACAGCUACAAAAGUGUAGCAAAUGUGUGAUAGGAAUAACAGAGAAAAGGACAAAAAAAUUUGAAGAAAUGAUGUCUGGGAACUUUCCAAAACAAUUUCAGACAUCAAACCAUAGACCCAGGAAGCUUAGGGAAUAGCAAGCAUGAUAAAUUUCCCCUCUCCACCCACCCCCAAGAAAAACCCUGUACCUGGAUGUAUUUUCAAAGUACAGAAAAUAAGAAAUUUCUGAAGUCAAAGGAAAAAAACACUUUACCUAUGGAAGAACAAAGGCUAAGAAUUAUACCCAACUUCUCAGAAACCAUGCAAGCAAGAAGAGCAUGAAGUAUUUAAAGUGUGAAAGAAACCACCAACCUAGAAUUCUGUACCUUGUGAAACUAUUUUUCAAAAGCAAAUAAAGACUUUCUCAGGAAAAUUGAGGGUAUUUGUUGCUUGUAGAUCUGCCUUGCAAGAAAAUGCUAGAAAGUUUUUUCUACAGAGAAAAAUAAGAUGGGUCAGAAACUCAGAUCAACAUUAAAGAAGAGAAGCAAGGAAGGAAUAAGUAAAUGUAAAAUAAAAACUUUUCCAUUUUUUAAGUUU